AGUGAACGCUGGCGGUAGGCCUAACACAUGCAAGUCGAACGGCAGCACAGUAAGAGCUUGCUCUUACGGGUGGCGAGUGGCGGACGGGUGAGGAAUACAUCGGAAUCUACUUUUUCGUGGGGGAUAACGUAGGGAAACUUACGCUAAUACCGCAUACGACCUACGGGUGAAAGCAGGGGAUCUUCGGACCUCGCGCGAUUGAAUGAGCCGAUGUCGGAUUAGCUAGUUGGCGGGGUAAAGGCCCACCAAGGCGACGAUCCGUAGCUGGUCUGAGAGGAUGAUCAGCCACACUGGAACUGAGACACGGUCCAGACUCCUACGGGAGGCAGCAGUGGGGAAUAUUGGACAAUGGGCGCAAGCCUGAUCCAGCCAUACCGCGUGGGUGAAGAAGGCCUUCGGGUUGUAAAGCCCUUUUGUUGGGAAAGAAAAGCAGCAGGUUAAUACCCCGCUGUUCUGACGGUACCCAAAGAAUAAACACCGGCUAACUUCGU
Molecule: ribosomal RNA, 491 nt
Filed under: uncultured bacterium
Lineage: Bacteria
Description: partial 16S ribosomal RNA
Rfam family: Bacterial small subunit ribosomal RNA
Source: RNAcentral